Molecule: ribosomal RNA, 441 nt
Filed under: uncultured bacterium
Lineage: Bacteria
Description: partial 16S ribosomal RNA
Rfam family: Bacterial small subunit ribosomal RNA
Source: RNAcentral
CUACGGGUGGCUGCAGUGGGGAAUAUUGGGCAAUGGGCGCAAGCCUGACCCAGCAACGCCGCGUGAGGGAAGAAGGUUUUCGGAUUGUAAACCUCUGUCCUUGGGGACGAAGAAGUGACGGUACCCAAGGAGGAAGCUCCGGCUAACUACGUGCCAGCAGCCGCGGUAAUACGUAGGGAGCAGGCGUUGUCCGGAAUUACUGGGCGUAAAGGGUGCGUAGGCGGCAUAUUAAGUCAGGUGUGAAAUACUCGGGCUCAACCCGGGGGCUGCAUUUGAAACUGAUAUGCUUGAGUGUGAGAGAGGAAAGUGGAAUUCCUAGUGUAGCGGUGGAAUGCGUAGAUAUUAGGAGGAACACCAGUGGCGAAGGCGACUUUCUGGCUCAUAACUGACGCUGAGGCACGAAAGCGUGGGGAGCAAACAGGAUUAGAUACCCGAGUAGUC